Molecule: long non-coding RNA, 432 nt
Organism: Zea mays
Lineage: Eukaryota; Viridiplantae; Streptophyta; Magnoliopsida; Poales; Poaceae
Exons: 2
Source: RefSeq, a predicted model, not a curated record
UUUUGUUUUUUUUUUGUUUAUGUCGUUGGUGUGUCCGCUUAAAUUUAUUUCUCGCCUAGAUUUUUGUUUAUCUUCCAGGUGCACUCGAUGAUGCUGCCAUUACAGAGUCAUUAGAACUACACAAAAUUAAGAGCCGCCAAUGGGCGAUUUUCAAAACAUCUGCAAUAAAGGGAGAGGGGCUCUUCGAAGGUUUGGACUGGCUCAGUAACACGCUCAAAUCUAGAAGCAGCUAAGGAGCCUCCGCCUGGUCAUGAAUCAUUUGCUGGAGGCUAAAGAAUAGCCGAUGCUUGCAAGUCAGCGCGCAAAUCCCAUUCUCUUUGUUUUAACUCCAGAAGUUCUACACCGCCAUCAAUUAUCUGUAAAGUGCGUGUUAAAUUUUUUGGAUACUACAUUAGAUGUACCCCCAGGUUGAGAUCAAGAAUAGGUCUGUGG